AGAAUCAACGCUGGCGGCGUGCCUAACACAUGCAAGUCGCACGAGAAAGGGGAGCAAUCCCUGAGUAAAGUGGCGCACGGGUGAGUAACACGUGAAUCAUCUACCUCCGAGUGGGGAAUAACCUAGAGAAAUCUGGGCUAAUACCGCAUAACACUUACGAGUCAAAGCAGCAAUGCGCUUGGAGAGGAGUUCGCGGCCGAUUAGUUAGUUGGCGGGGUAAUGGCCCACCAAGACGAUGAUCGGUAUCCGGCCUGAGAGGGCGCACGGACACACUGGAACUGAAACACGGUCCAGACUCCUACGGAGGCAGCAGUGGGGAAUUUUGCGCAAUGGGGGAAACCCUGACGCAGCAACGCCGCGUGGAGGAUGAAAUAUCUUGGUAUGUAAACUCCUUUCGAUGGGGAAGAUUAUGACGGUACCCAUAGAAGAAGCCCGGCUAACUUCGUGCCAGCAGCCGC
Molecule: ribosomal RNA, 458 nt
Filed under: uncultured bacterium
Lineage: Bacteria
Description: SSU rRNA
Rfam family: Bacterial small subunit ribosomal RNA
Source: RNAcentral